This is a long non-coding RNA of Heterocephalus glaber (naked mole-rat), 1003 nucleotides long. The record is from Ensembl. NCBI's taxonomy places the organism in Eukaryota, Metazoa, Chordata, Mammalia, Rodentia, Bathyergidae.
CUAAUACACUUUUAACAUGUCUUCUAUACCUACUUCCCUAGCUUUUAUUCAAUAUAAUGUCAGUUGAGAGCAUAAAUAGGUUUAAAGAUUUUAAUCAUUAUUUUGAGCCAAUUCUACUAGUUAGUGCAAUUAACUUUCUCAAUUUGUUUCCUGCUUGUUGGAUGCUUUUAGACUGAGUGCAUGAAAUCAGUCCUUUCUCUAGACACAGAGUUAUGCAGAGAGGGGGAGCCAGGUACAUGCCCUAACUCUGGUGGUGCUGAGACCCACAGUUGCUUAUUAUCAGGUCUAUGAAACUUAAAAUUCCAAAUUCAGGUGACAACUGAGAAUGAGAUAUGAUUUAGUGUUUUAGACGUCACUGCAAGAUUACUCUUAAAGAAAACAUCUUGAGGGGGUUUUAUGAUGGUUUUGGAUCAUUGACUAUUUGACUGAGGGACUGGAAGGCAGCAAAAUGAAGAACAAACUGCUAACAGUACCUUGAUAUUCAGUAUCAAUCCAAAAUUAACAUAAUGAAAAAAUGAUUUAUCAACUUCAGAUGCACAAAUCUUCUAUAGUGCAAGCAGUAAUAUUUACUUUUGUCAAUAUAAAUUAAUAAAUGCAUAUCAGUGGAUGAAGUAGAGGAAAUGGGGUGCAAAUUAUCACAAUGGAGUAUGAUUCUUUCCAGUUAUAAGACAUUCUAUUAUUUUAUAGUAAUCAGUGUAUGAAUGACAUUAACAAAUCAAUCGGUUCUCUGAUAUCUUUAUUACAGAUGACAAGAGACCUCCCAGGAUCUGCAGUGGUUCCCUUGCCCCUACCCACUGCACACUGUUUCUGUUUCUCUGUUUGCUCUCUCUCUCUCUCUCUCUCUCUCUCUGUCUCACACACACACACAAACACUUAACUUUUGACCCACUCUAUCCUCAACUGAAGUUACCAUUUUUCUUUUCCAGAUCUACACAGAAUAACCCCAUCUUGCAAAAUCUUUAUCCCUAUAAAUCUCUAAAAUAUAUUAAAUUAUAUAUCUUCG